RNAcentral lists this ribosomal RNA (305 nucleotides) under uncultured bacterium. RNAcentral describes it as "bacterial SSU rRNA". It matches the Rfam family "Bacterial small subunit ribosomal RNA", at positions 336 to 634 of the family's 1533-position model. The record is from RNAcentral.
CUCCUACGGGGGGCAGCAGUAGGGAAUUUUCGUCAAUGGGCGCAAGCCUGACCGAGCAAUGCCGCGUGAACGAGGAAGGUCUUCGGAUCGUAAAGUUCUGUUGAAGGGGAAAAAGCGCGGAGAGAGGAAAUGAACUCCGAUUGAUAUUACCCUUCGAGAAAGCCACGGCUAACUACGUGCCAGCAGCCGCGGUAAUACGUAGGUGGCGAGCGUUAUCCGGAAUGAUUGGGCGUAAAGGGUGCGUAGGCGGCCUGCUAGGUCUGUCGUGAAAGGUCCCGGCGCAACCGGUACAGGCUCUGGAAACU